Molecule: long non-coding RNA, 211 nt
Filed under: Phoenix dactylifera (date palm)
Lineage: Eukaryota; Viridiplantae; Streptophyta; Magnoliopsida; Arecales; Arecaceae
Description: long non-coding RNA (PDAC_LNC022330)
Source: RNAcentral
GUUUGAUAGCCUUGACUAUCGCAUUGGCCCGCUGCCAGAAUGACUGCCUGUUUACCAAGUCUUCCAUUCUGCUUCCUUCAAUGCCGGCCUGGGCAUAUCUACUUUCCUGCCACUCGGGACUGACAAACAUCUGACGUAGGGCUCUUUUCUUCUCGAUAAGGCUAUCAAGUGCAAUGUAAUUCGUAGCAAACCGUGUGACUCCUGGUCUAAG